Non-coding RNA from Vicia faba (fava bean), 207 nucleotides. The record is from the annotation of a GenBank genome assembly. NCBI's taxonomy places the organism in Eukaryota, Viridiplantae, Streptophyta, Magnoliopsida, Fabales, Fabaceae.
AUGGUGGUUAAGUCGUGGACUGGAGGGGGUAUAUCGCGCGGAUGGUGGUCUGCAGUAGCGCUACAGUUGGGGCCUGAACGUUUUUGGCCGAGAAGGAGGAGGAGGAGUAUGAGAAGCUAUACAUGCCUACAAUAUUUCAUUGGUGAAGGAAAAGUUGCAUCUGAGGAAGAGGGAUCUGACAAGUCCAGGCUAGCAGGCGUGCUCUAG